This is a non-coding RNA of Pelobates cultripes (western spadefoot toad), 250 nucleotides long. The record is from the annotation of a GenBank genome assembly. Lineage: Eukaryota; Metazoa; Chordata; Amphibia; Anura; Pelobatidae.
CUCAAAAGUGCCUCAAUCUCUUUGCUUAAAGGUUACAUAGUUACAUAGCUGAAAAAAAGACUUGCAUCCAAGUUCAGCCUUCCUCACAUAUGUUUUUGCUGUUGAUCCAAAAGAAGGCAAAAAACCGAGCUGAAGCACUUCCAAUUUUGCAACAAACUAGGAAAAAAAUCCUUCUUGACCCCAAAAUGGCAGUCAGAUAUCUCCUUGGAUCAAGCAGCUAUUACCCCACUAAUUAGAAAUUAUAUCCCUG